This 71-nucleotide transfer RNA is filed under the name Camelus bactrianus (Bactrian camel). It matches the Rfam family "tRNA". Rfam says of the family: Transfer RNA (tRNA) molecules are approximately 80 nucleotides in length. Lineage: Eukaryota; Metazoa; Chordata; Mammalia; Artiodactyla; Camelidae. The record is from Rfam by way of RNAcentral. RNAcentral also lists the same sequence under 2 other names.
GGGUAUAGCUCAGUGGUGAGAGCACAUGCUUAGCAUGCACAAGGUCCUGGGUUCAAUCUCCAGUACCUCCA